GAAAGAUUCAUCGGAAGAGGAUGGGCAUGCGGCGCAUUAGCUUGACGGCGGGGUAACGGCCCACCGUGGCGACGAUGCGUAGGGGUUCUGAGAGGAAGGUCCCCCACACUGGUACUGAGACACGGACCAGACUCCUACGGGAGGCAGCAGUGAGGAAUAUUGGUCAAUGGGAGAGAUCCUGAACCAGCCAAGCCGCGUGAGGGAAGACGGCCCUAUGGGUUGUAAACCUCUUUUGUCGGAGAACAAAACCCGGGACGUGUCCCGGACUGCGUGUAUCCGAAGAAAAAGCAUCGGCUAACUCCGUGCCAGCAGCCGCGGUAAUACGGAGGAUGCGAGCGUUAUCCGGAUUUAUUGGGUUUAAAGGGUGCGUAGGCGGUCUGUUAAGUCAGCGGUAAAAUUGCGGGGCUCAACCCCGUCGAGCCGUUGAAACUGGCAGACUUGAGUUGGCGAGAAGUACGCGGAAUGCGCGGUGUAGCGGUGAAAUGCAUAGAUAUCGCGCAGAACUCCGAUUGCGAAGGCAGCGUACCGGCGCCAGACUGACGCUGAGGCACGAAAGCGUGGGGAUCGAACAGGAUUAGAUACCCUGGUAGUCCACGCAGU
RNAcentral lists this ribosomal RNA (600 nucleotides) under uncultured bacterium. RNAcentral describes it as "bacterial SSU rRNA". It matches the Rfam family "Bacterial small subunit ribosomal RNA", at positions 202 to 803 of the family's 1533-position model. The record is from RNAcentral.